Non-coding RNA from Pelobates cultripes (western spadefoot toad), 965 nucleotides. The record is from the annotation of a GenBank genome assembly. NCBI's taxonomy places the organism in Eukaryota, Metazoa, Chordata, Amphibia, Anura, Pelobatidae.
GUUUCCAUCUUCAUCUGUUCAAAGCAAUCAUGUGGAGCUUCUGGGUCUGGUUCUGCAGGAGGCACAUCUUCACAUAUCUCUGCCUGAUAUCGGGGGUAACCGAUUGUUUUGUAAUUUAUGGUCUUCUUAGUGACCCGUCACUGUGAGUUGGUUGUGUGUUGCAGUGCUCCAUUCCUUGGCCAUUGGCCCAGGUUCUUUCCAUGAGAGAUUUGGAGACUUGGUGAAAGAAACAUGGGGAACAGCCACCUCCCAAUGGCGAUACAAAUGUGAUACCUCCAUCGGUAGACAGACUAGGAUGACAAUGUUUCCUUUGGAGUCACAGAAUAGGUCUGUCAGCGUGAUCUGCACCUCCACCAGGCUAAGCAAUUCUUCUUCAUAGUAUGAGUCAGGACCUGGAGUAUCUCAAAACCACAGGGUGCAAUGUAGUUGUGUUUCAGGUUGUUCAUCAUGCGGAAUUGUGGGCUUUUCAAUUUGCAGUCCCAUGUAAACAUCAGGAUGUAUAUGUAUACUGUACCAGUAUUGUGGAACUCCCCCCUUGGGAAGGGGCAGAAGAGUGGCUGGAUUCAGAGUAUAACAUCGUUGCAGAGUAACGUUGUCUGGUAAAAGAAGAGAAGUUUGAAGGCGAAGGUGUCUCUGGCAAGAGAGGUGUUUCGGUUGGACUUGGUUCAGAAUGGCAGCGAUGUCAUGUGGAGCCAGAACAGUCAGUUUAUGUCCAAGAAAAAAAUCAUUAGUUUUAUCCAGGAGGGCACUUGCAGCAAAGACAGCAUGCAAACAGGAAGGACCCCCUCUGGCUACGGGGUCAAGCAUGCAGGAAAAGUAUCCUAUGGGGCGUUGACGGGGCCCAUAAGACUGAGUAAGGACCCCGGAGGCAUGGCCCAUCUUCUCAGAAACAAACAGUUUAGACGGCAACUCAUAGUUAGGGAGGCCCAGAGCAGGGGCUGAAGAUAUUGCCCUUUGUAGAGUAA